GUGCUUGCUUCAGCAGCACAUAUAAUAAAAUUUGAAUGAUACACAGAAGACUAGCAUGGUCCCUGCGCAUAGAUGAUAUGCAAAUUCAUGAAGCAUUCCAUAUUUUU
Sorex araneus (European shrew) is the source of this 107-nucleotide small nuclear RNA. The record is from Ensembl. Lineage: Eukaryota; Metazoa; Chordata; Mammalia; Eulipotyphla; Soricidae.